ACCGGUGGAAGAUUGUCGUGAGAGUCGUGGAAAAGGAAGGAUAAUAUCUUUGCAGCAGUGGUGGGAGUCGCGGGGCAAACGUAAGCUGGGAUUGCGCUUUUAAAGAUUUACUAUGCAGCAUGCAAAGAUUCUGUAUUCUCAGCUUUUGAUAGAGAUCAAAAUCAGGAGCAAAAAGCGAAAUAAGGUUGUGCGCUUUUUUCUCUGCGUUAGCUAGAAAGCUUGCAUGAUUCUUUGAUCUCUGAAAAAGAGUAGCGUAUCGUUUUAGAGACUUGAGUUUGUAUUGCGAGCAAGAAAGGAAAAAAAAGGGGGGGAGUGAAAAGAUAACAUAACCGAUGCUCUGUCUCCUAGAUUUCUGGUAGUUAGUUCUGCUUAGAAUUAGUCUCCGAUAGGUAUAUCUGUUGUAACAGAACACAUCCUCUAGGCUGUAUUUUGUGUUUAAAUACUAAGGCAAUCGCUAGGAAAGGUAGGGGAAAACAUUAUAUGCAAGCCUCUCUUCUUCCUCACCUCUCUUCUACAUGGUAUCAGAGCCUAUCUCAUACGAGAUUAGGUUCUGAUCUGCAACAUCCAUGGCAACUGGAAAUACUCAGGUUGUUCUCCCAAAUACUCAUGACCCAAACAGUCCUCUAACCUUGAUCACCAUCCACAACUCCAUCAAACUUACCUCCACAAAUUAUCUCUCUUGGAAAACUCAGAUCGAAGCCAUCCUCAUAGGUUAUGACCUGCACAAAUUCAUUGACGGUUCGCAGCCGUCUCCUCCUGCCACCAUCACUGCCAACAAUGCAGCUUCCCCCAAUCCGGCAUAUCAGACAUGGCUGAGACAAGACAAGCUUUUGUUUGGCGCGCUGGUGGGCACGAUGUCACCCAACCUUGUUCCGCUCAUUGCUCAGUCAAAAACAUCUCAUGAUGCUUGGAAAGCCCUCGCCAACACCUAUGCUCGUCCCUCUCGUGGACAUAUCAAACAAAUCAAGGACAACCUGAAGAACAUCUCCAAAGGAUCACAAUCUGUUACCGAUUACAUGCAAGCCAUCAAGACCAAAGCUGAUGAACUUGCCACCCUUGGAAAACCACUUGAUCAUGAAGACUUAAUUGAGAAAGUCUUGGACGGCCUUGAUGACACAUUCCAAUCUGUCAUUGAUGCAGUCAACAGCCGCGACACGGUCAUCACCUUUGAUGAACUCCAUGAAAAACUCAUCAACAAAGAGCUGUCCUUGCGCAAUUCCUCACCAGGUUUUCCAGCCUCUGCCCACCUCACACACACACAACGCUCAAAUCAGCGGUCACCGGGCAAUCACCCACCAUGGCCUGCUCGUCCUCCAACCUUGCAGUCCGCUCCCAGCCACUACAACCGACCAAUGCGUCCAUUUCUGGGCAAAUGCCAGUGGUGCCGUGGUCAAGGUCAUGUGGUCCCUCAGUGCACUCUCUUCCGCCAACAAUUUCCUCAUGCUUCACCACCAUCACGCGCUGUCAGUUCACCGCCACUUCGUGCACCCCCUCCUUGGCAAGCUCAAGCUCAUGUUGCUACCUCAAACUCCCCAUCACAUGAUCCUUGGCUAUUGGACAGUGGUGCUACGCAUCACAUUACAACUGACCUUCAAAACCUCUCCUUUCACAACCCCUAUACUGGUCCAGAUGAAAUCAUGAUUGGAGAUGGCUCUGGCAUUCCUAUCACACACACGGGACCUUCAAUCGAAAGCCAUGCUCUUCCAAGGCCAAACUAAAAAUGGUGUCUAUGAGUGGCCCAUCUCCUCGGCUUCAUCACCAUUGCUUGCUUUCUCCACAACAAAGACCACAUACCCUGCCUGGCAUCACCGACUUGGUCACCCAUCACUACCGACACUCAAACACAUGGUCUCAUCAUUCAAUCUGGAUGUCUCAAAUUCUUCCUCUCUCAACUCUCAUUGCAAUUCUUGUCAUUGUAAUAAGAGUCACAAAUUACCUUUCUCUGUGUCUACCUUGUUCACUUCUUCUCCACUUGAAAUUGUCUUCACGGAUGUUUGGACUUCACCUGUGUACUCCAUUGACAACUUUAAAUACUAUAUUCUCUUUGUUGAUCAUUUCACAAAAUAUAUGUGGCUGUAUCCGCUGAAACGCAAAUCUGAUGCUCGUAAUGUUUUCAUUUCCUUCAAGGCCUUGGUUGAAAAAUUCUUCAACUGUGAAAUCAAAACGCUUUACUCUGAUAAUGGUGGCGAAUAUCAGGCCCUCUCUUCCUUCCUAACAAUCAAUGGCAUCUCUCAUCUCACCUCUCCUCCUCAUACUCCUGAACACAAUGGCUAUUCUGAACGUCGCCAUCGUCAUAUUGUUGAAACUGGACUUUCUCUCCUUUCUCACGCAUCUAUGCCUCUGGCCUAUUGGUCCUUUGCCUUUUCCACAGCCGUAUAUCUUAUAAAUCGUCUCUCGACACCUACUCUCAACAAUGAGUCUCCAUUCCUUAAACUUUUUGGCACUGUCCCUAACUACAAUAAACUUCGAAGUUUUGGCUGCCUCUGCUAUCCCUGGCUCCGUCCUUACACCUCUCACAAACUUGAACCCAAAUCAACUCCUUGUCUCUUGGUUGGAUAUUCCUCUACUCAAAGUGCUUAUCUCUGUCUUGAUAUAUCCUCCAACCGAUUGUACACCUCUCGUCAUGUCCGUUUUGUUGAGUCUGUGUUUCCCUUUGCCAACUCUAAUCUCACCCUCCCUCGGGUCACCUCCUCCACCACAUCCGAAUGGUGUUCUAUGACUUUACCUGUCAUUCCUUCUGUGUCCCCCUCCGUCCCAACAACCUCUCAACCCCAAGGACAACCUUUAUCGUCGCAACCCGCAUCCAGUUCUGGAUUACCACCCAUCUCCUCCCCUCCUACUCCAGCUGCAACUAUAUCCACAACCACCAACCCGACGCCCUCAUCUCCUCAAGGCAUAAUUACUCGGUCCAAACACAACAUUCACAAACCCAUUCAAAAACUCAACCUCAAUGCUGAACUCCACCAUCCCACCCUUGUGCCCACCACCGUCAAUCAAGCAUUGAAAGAUCCUCAAUGGCGGCAAGCCAUGUCCACAGAAUUUGAUGCUCUUCUUCGUAAUGGCACGUGGGAACUUGUUCCAUCUCAUCCUACCCAAAAUUUGGUAGGGUGUAAAUGGAUUUUUCGCAUCAAGUACUUACCUGAUGGCUCUGUUGACAGGUACAAAGCGCGUCUGGUGGCCAAAGGUUUUCAUCAACGCCCAGGGGUUGAUUUCACCGAGACCUUCAGUCCUGUCAUCAAACCAACCACUGUGCGUCUGGUUCUUAGCCUUGCGAUAAGUCAAGGCUGGUCACUUCGCCAACUGGAUGUCAACAAUGCCUUUCUUCAAGGCACACUUUCAGAAGUGGUGUUUAUGUCUCAACCUCCAGGCUUCAUUGACCGUGAUCAUCCUCACCAUGUCUGCAGGCUUCGCAAGGCCAUCUACGGCCUCAAACAGGCUCCACGCGCCUGGUAUCAUGAAUUACGCCAAUUUCUGCUCACUUCAGGCUUUCAUAACUCCACGGCAGAUACCUCUCUAUUCAAUUCAACACUCAAGGAGUUAUUCUUUAUCUUCUUGUUUACGUUGAUGAUAUCAUUAUUACUGGAAACACAGCUCAAGCUGUACAUCAGUUUCUUCAGCAACUCUCUAUGCGCUUCUCCUUAAAGGAUCUUGGGGACUUACACUACUUCCUGGGUGUUGAAACGCUUCCCCAUGACGAUGGUCUGUUUCUUAGUCAACGAAGGUAUAUUGUUGAUCUUCUUCAAAAAACUCGGAUGACUGAGGCAAAACCAGCCACUACACCUCUAGCAACAAGUCCGCCUCUUACCUUGCAUGCUGGUACUCCCUUAUCUAAUCCUACAGAGUAUCGCACCAUUGUUGGAAGUCUUCAGUACCUCUCCUUGACCCGUCCAGACAUCACUUACACCGUCAAUAAACUUUCUCAAUUCAUGCAUCAACCAACGAAUGAACAUUGGACGGCUGUCAAACGCUUACUUCGCUAUCUCUGUGGCACGUUAGAUCAUGGCAUAACACUUCGUCGUAAGUCAUCUCUUACUCUUCAUGCUUUCUCCGAUGCUGACUGGGCCGGCAACAAGGAUGAUUUUACUUCCACCAGUGCUUACAUUGUUUAUCUCGGCCAUAAUCCUGUAUCUUGGAGCUCCAAGAAACAAAGAACUGUUGCCCGCUCUUCAACCGAAGCUGAGUAUCGAUCAGUUGCUGCCACGGCCGCUGAACUCCGAUGGAUUUGUUCUCUCCUCACUGAACUUGGCAUUUCUAUUCCCCAUCAACCGGUGAUUUAUUGUGACAAUGUUGGAGCCACAAACCUCUGUGCCAAUCCAGUUUUUCACUCGCGUAUGAAGCAUGUUGCCUUAGACUAUCAUUUCAUUCGUGAACAAGUACAAAACGGUCUCCUCAGAGUCUCUUAUGUCUCAGCUUCUGAUCAGCUUGCCGAUGUCCUCACCAAGCCCCUGUCUCGCCAACAAUUCACCAUGGUUUUGAACAAGAUUGGACUCACUCCACCACCAUCUUGCGGGGGGAUGAAAAGAUAACAUAACCGAUGCUCUGUCUCCUAGAUUUCUGGUAGUUAGUUCUGCUUAGAAUUAGUCUCCGAUAGGUAUAUCUGUUG
RNAcentral lists this long non-coding RNA (4603 nucleotides) under Coffea arabica (coffee). RNAcentral's name for it is "long non-coding RNA (CARA_LNC006998)". Lineage: Eukaryota; Viridiplantae; Streptophyta; Magnoliopsida; Gentianales; Rubiaceae. The record is from RNAcentral.